GGGCGUUUAGUUUAGUGGUAAAACACCCCAUUCGCAGGAUAACAUUGGGGAGCUGGGGGUUCGAUUCCCCCAUCGUCCA
Non-coding RNA from Trichophyton benhamiae CBS 112371, 79 nucleotides. The record is from Rfam. NCBI's taxonomy places the organism in Eukaryota, Fungi, Ascomycota, Eurotiomycetes, Onygenales, Arthrodermataceae.